This 141-nucleotide signal recognition particle RNA is filed under the name Otolemur garnettii (small-eared galago). Its description in RNAcentral is "Metazoan signal recognition particle RNA". It matches the Rfam family "Metazoan signal recognition particle RNA". From Rfam's summary of the family: The signal recognition particle (SRP) is a universally conserved ribonucleoprotein. It is involved in the co-translational targeting of proteins to membranes. The eukaryotic SRP consists of a 300-nucleotide 7S RNA and six proteins: SRPs 72, 68, 54, 19, 14, and 9. Lineage: Eukaryota; Metazoa; Chordata; Mammalia; Primates; Galagidae. The record is from Rfam by way of RNAcentral.
GCCGGGCAUUGUGGCGGGUGCCUGUAGUCCCAGCUACUUGGGAGGCUGAGGCAGGAGACUCGCUUGAGCCCAGGAGUUGGAGGUUGCUGGAGCGACUCCUCCGCACUCUACCAAGGGCAAAAAAGUGAGACUCUGUCUCUA